This 72-nucleotide transfer RNA is filed under the name Acropora cervicornis. RNAcentral describes it as "tRNA-Thr". It matches the Rfam family "tRNA". From Rfam's summary of the family: Transfer RNA (tRNA) molecules are approximately 80 nucleotides in length. Their secondary structure includes four short double-helical elements and three loops (D, anti-codon, and T loops). The record is from RNAcentral. Lineage: Eukaryota; Metazoa; Cnidaria; Anthozoa; Scleractinia; Acroporidae.
ACCUCGUUAGCUCAGUGGCAAAGCACUGGUCUCGUAAACCAGCGGUCGAGGGUUCAAAUCCCUCACGGGGCU